AGCAGCCGCGGUAAUUCCAGCUCCAAUAGCGUAUAUUAAAGUUGUUGCAGUUAAAAAGCUCGUAGUUGAAUUUUGGGUCUGGCCGGGCGGUCCGCCCUCUGGGUGAGCACUGUUCCGACGCCGGGCCUAUCCUUCUGGUGAGUCGGCAUGUCCUUUAUUGGGUGUGCCGGGGAACCAGGACCAUUACCUUGAAAAAUUAGAGUGUUCAAAGCAGGCGUAUGCUCGGAUACAUUAGCAUGGAAUAAUGAAAUAGGACGCGUGGUGCUAUUUUGUUGGUUUCUAGAACCGCCGUAAUGAUUAAUAGGGAUAGUUGGGGGCAUUAGUAUUCAAUUGUCAGAGGUGAAAUUCUUGGAUUUAUUGAAGACUAACUUCUGCGAAAGCAUUUGCCAAGGAUGUUUUCAUUAAUCAAGAACGAAAGUUAGGGGAUCGAAGACGAUCAGAUACCGUCGUAGUCUUAACCAUAAACUAUGCCGACUAGGAAUCGGGCGAUGUUAUUCUCAUGACUCGCUCGGCGCCUU
RNAcentral lists this ribosomal RNA (518 nucleotides) under uncultured Ambispora. Its description in RNAcentral is "SSU rRNA". It matches the Rfam family "Eukaryotic small subunit ribosomal RNA", at positions 569 to 1089 of the family's 1831-position model. The record is from RNAcentral. Lineage: Eukaryota; Fungi; Glomeromycota; Glomeromycetes; Archaeosporales; Ambisporaceae.